RNAcentral lists this ribosomal RNA (253 nucleotides) under uncultured bacterium. Its description in RNAcentral is "partial 16S ribosomal RNA". It matches the Rfam family "Bacterial small subunit ribosomal RNA", at positions 524 to 776 of the family's 1533-position model. The record is from RNAcentral.
UACGUAGGGUGCGAGCGUUGUCCGGAAUCACUGGGCGUAAAGCGCACGUAGGCGGACUCGCAGGUCAAUUGUGAAAUACCUGGGCUCAACCCGGGAACUGCAGUUGAAACCGCUUGUCUUGAAUACCUGAGAGGGUGGGGGAAUACCUGGUGGAGAAGUGAAAUUCGUAGAGAUCGGAAGGAACACCAGUGGCGAAGGCGGCUACCUGGACAGAUACUGACACUGAGGCGCGAGAGCGUGGGGAGCAAACAGG